This 219-nucleotide long non-coding RNA is filed under the name Hordeum vulgare. RNAcentral describes it as "long non-coding RNA (HVUL_LNC000506)". The record is from RNAcentral. Lineage: Eukaryota; Viridiplantae; Streptophyta; Magnoliopsida; Poales; Poaceae.
UUGUAAUCUACGUUGCUACAUUAGGUCAGUAGUUGUAAACAUGGGAAUGUCAGACUGCAAGUUGAGUACAAGGGUGAUCUAGAUACAGUUAUAUAUGUUACAGCUUAGUUGCAACUGACUGGGUUAAGCAUCUCCGACAGUUGCAGCGCAAGAAAAAAAAACCUUGACCAAUACAAAUGGAAGGCGGAUGCCAUUGACGUUCUCUGCUGAGCUUUGCAG